Molecule: ribosomal RNA, 1006 nt
Filed under: Aigialus parvus
Lineage: Eukaryota; Fungi; Ascomycota; Dothideomycetes; Pleosporales; Aigialaceae
Description: SSU rRNA
Rfam family: Eukaryotic small subunit ribosomal RNA
Source: RNAcentral
CUGCGAAUGGCUCAUUAAAUCAGUUAUCGUUUAUUUGAUAGUACCUUACUACUUGGAUAACCGUGGUAAUUCUAGAGCUAAUACAUGCCAAAAACCUCGACUUCGGGAGGGGUGUAUUUAUUAGAUAAAAAGCCAAUGCCCUUUGGGCUCUUUGGUGAUUCAUGAUAACUUAACGGAUCGCAUGGCCUUGCGCCGGCGACGGUUCAUUCAAAUUUCUGCCCUAUCAACUUUCGAUGGUAAGGUAUUGGCUUACCAUGGUCUCAACGGGUAACGGGGGAUUAGGGUUCGACUCCGGAGAGGGAGCCUGAGAAACGGCUACCACAUCCAAGGAAGGCAGCAGGCGCGCAAAUUACCCAAUCCCGACACGGGGAGGUAGUGACAAUAAAUACUGAUACAGGGCUCUUUUGGGUCUUGUAAUCGGAAUGAGUACAAUUUAAAUCCCUUAACGAGGAACAAUUGGAGGGCAAGUCUGGUGCCAGCAGCCGCGGUAAUUCCAGCUCCAAUAGCGUAUAUUAAAGUUGUUGCAGUUAAAAAGCUCGUAGUUGAACCUUGGGCCUGGCUGGCCGGUCCGCCUCACCGCGUGCACUGGCACGGCCGGGCCUUUCCUCUUGGAGAGCCCCAUGCCCUUCACUGGGCGUGUGGGGGAACCAGGACUUUUACUUUGAAAAAAUUAGAGUGUUCAAAGCAGGCCUUUGCUCGAAUACAUUAGCAUGGAAUAAUGAAAUAGGACGUGCGGUCCUAUUUUGUUGGUUUCUAGGACCGCCGUAAUGAUUAAUAGGGACAGUCGGGGGCAUCCGUAUUCAAUUGUCAGAGGUGAAAUUCUUGGGAUUUAUUGAAGACGAACUACUGCGAAAGCAUUUGCCAGGGAUGUUUUCAUUAAUCAGUGAACGAAAGUUAGGGGAUCGAAGACGAUCAGAUACCGUCGUAGUCUUAACCGUAAACUAUGCCGACUAGGGAUCGGGCGAUGUUAUUAUCUUGACUCGCUCGGCACCUUACGAGAAAUCAA